RNAcentral lists this ribosomal RNA (741 nucleotides) under Triticum aestivum (bread wheat). RNAcentral's name for it is "partial small subunit ribosomal RNA". The record is from RNAcentral. Lineage: Eukaryota; Viridiplantae; Streptophyta; Magnoliopsida; Poales; Poaceae.
AUGAGACUAGCGGCCGUCAUUGACAAGAUUAUCUCGCCUGCUCAAACGGCCUUUCAGCGCGGGAGAUGCAUCCAUGACAGCUACCUUUACGUGCAGAAUUCUGUCCGACCUCUUCAUAGGAACAAAACCCCAACACUUCUUCUUAAGCUAGAUAUAGCUAGGGCCUUCGAUAGCAUAUCUUGGGAAUACCUAUUAGAAUUGCUACAGAGGCUGGGUUUCUCGGCCAGAUGGAGGGAUUGGAUCGCCCUGCUGCUAUCCUCCUCCACCUCGUCCUGCAUUCUCAACGGCGAUCCAGGAGACAUUGUCAUCCAUCUUCGUGGGAUCCGACAAGGGGAUCCCCUAUCACCGCUUCUCUUCAUCCUCUGCAUAGAUCCACUCCAUCGCCUCCUAGAUGCGGCCACUAGGGUGGGCGUGCUGAAUCCCAUCCCGGGCGCGGCGGCGAGGAUGCGCACGAGCUUAUAUGCUGACGACGCUGUCAUCUUCAUCAACCCUGCACGUCAGGAAGUAGAUAGUCUUGUUGAGCUGCUACGGUUCUUCGGCGACGCUACGGGACUCCGGGUGAACCUUUCAAAAUCUCUCGCGGCUCCCAUUAGGUGCGACGACAUAGACAUGGCUGAUGUUCUUCAAAACUUUGGUGGCAUUACCACGGCGUUCCCGAUUAGAUAUCUCGGCCUCCCAGUCACGAUGGGGCCAUUCUGGACAGGAUCCGGGCUCGCCUUGCCGGCUGGAAAGGCAGAUUAA